GAGUUUGAUCCUGGCUCAGGAUGAACGCUGGCGGCGUGCCUAAUACAUGCAAGUCGAGCGAACAGACGAGGAGCUUGCUCCUCUGACGUUAGCGGCGGACGGGUGAGUAACACGUGGAUAACCUACCUAUAAGACUGGGAUAACUUCGGGAAACCGGAGCUAAUACCGGAUAAUAUAUUGAACCGCAUGGUUCAAUAGUGAAAGACGGUUUUGCUGUCACUUAUAGAUGGAUCCGCGCCGCAUUAGCUAGUUGGUAAGGUAACGGCUUACCAAGGCAACGAUGCGUAGCCGACCUGAGAGGGUGAUCGGCCACACUGGAACUGAGACACGGUCCAGACUCCUACGGGAGGCAGCAGUAGGGAAUCUUCCGCAAUGGGCGAAAGCCUGACGGAGCAACGCCGCGUGAGUGAUGAAGGUCUUCGGAUCGUAAAACUCUGUUAUUAGGGAAGAACAAAUGUGUAAGUAACUAUGCACGUCUCGACGGUACCUAAUCAGAAAGCCACGGCUAACUACGUGCCAG
RNAcentral lists this ribosomal RNA (520 nucleotides) under uncultured microorganism. RNAcentral's name for it is "bacterial SSU rRNA". It matches the Rfam family "Bacterial small subunit ribosomal RNA", at positions 9 to 511 of the family's 1533-position model. The record is from RNAcentral.